Pollicipes pollicipes is the source of this 708-nucleotide long non-coding RNA. RefSeq lists it as uncharacterized. The record is from RefSeq and is a predicted model, not a curated record. The transcript has 6 exons. NCBI's taxonomy places the organism in Eukaryota, Metazoa, Arthropoda, Thecostraca, Pollicipedomorpha, Pollicipedidae.
CGUCCGUCCACUCUACGACACUGUGCCUGCUCUUGUGUUUUUGACCCUUUUCCGUUUUUGCAGGUGCCGCAGACAGAUGCUGAGAAUGCUGUUUCGCAAUAUGCAGACGCACUAGCUGACAGCUGACAGCGCGAGCAGUUGGCGGAAAGUAUGGCGGCACACCGCCCGCCGGCGUCAGCAAUGCAGAGAUCAAUCCACGGCGGCGCUUGCUGCCGACCUGCCCCCCGCUGGUCGAGGUUCUGGGCGCCUCCCCGGCAGCUGGUGAAGCGUCAGCUGCUUGCUCAGUGCUCGUGGGGCAUGGUGAAGCCGUCCUGCCUGAGCUGAUGUACAAGCCUCCCCCCGUGAAGUGCGAGAGGGACCCGGGGCGGACCGAGCGGAUCGCCGCCGAGCGAUCCGGGCCGUCCGUAUCCGUCCUGGAAUGACCGUGGGCCGACGGGUGCGGCUCGUCUUGCGUUGUUAGACUCUGACCAACCGACCAAGUUGGCCGACCGGCUCCGACCAUCGCAUGGCGCGGCAGCCCUGGUCGGGGGCCGCAGGGACGACUGUCGGUCCCGGGCUCAGGCCACAGCUCGGAGCGCGUGGCGCGCGCGUUUCAGUCGCGAUGCUCUGUGCGAGCGUGCUGUGACUCCGCUUGUGCGUGGCGCGGUGGCGCGCUGCCGACCGUCGGUGCUGACGGCGACACAGGUCAAUACAUUGGUGACGAGCCGA